GGAAUCUUGCACAAUGGGCGAAAGCCUGAUGCAGCAACGCCGCGUGCGGGAAGAAGGCCCUAGGGUUGUGAACCGCUUUCAGCAGGGAAGAAAAUGACGGUACCUGCAGAAGAAGGUGCGGCCAACUACGUGCCAGCAGCCGCGGUGACACGUAGGCACCAAGCGUUAUCCGGAUUUAUUGGGCGUAAAGAGCUCGUAGGCGGUUCGGUAAGGCGGGUGUGAAAACUCUGGGCUCAACCCAGAGAGGCCACUCGAUACUGCUGUGACUAGAGUGCGGUAGGGGAGCGGGGAAUUCAUGGUGUAGCGGUGAAAUGCGCAGAUAUCAUGAGGAACACCAGUGGCGAAGGCGCCGCUCUGGGCCGUAACUGACGCUGAGGAGCGAAAGCGUGGGGAGCAAAC
This 399-nucleotide ribosomal RNA is filed under the name uncultured bacterium. Its description in RNAcentral is "bacterial SSU rRNA". It matches the Rfam family "Bacterial small subunit ribosomal RNA", at positions 358 to 773 of the family's 1533-position model. The record is from RNAcentral.